Long non-coding RNA from Brachypodium distachyon (stiff brome), 6820 nucleotides. RefSeq lists it as uncharacterized. Lineage: Eukaryota; Viridiplantae; Streptophyta; Magnoliopsida; Poales; Poaceae. The record is from RefSeq and is a predicted model, not a curated record. The transcript is spliced from 8 exons.
AUAUUUCUUCACAAACAUGCAGAAGUUUUAUAUAGAAUAUCUCUAAUGAUUUAAUAGAAGUUUAACAUUAUGGCGAGCAGUUUAUUUCUGUCCAACUAUUCAGGAGCAGUUAUUCAACUCUUAGGUUUUUGGAACCUGUUCCUAAAACUACAAUCCUACUCCCUUCUCGACUUAUUUCUUUUUGUGGAAAAAGCUGGCACUAGCAGCCUAGCAUAAAACUUCAUACUGUUACCAUAGAUUCAGAGAUUUGUCAUGAUUACUGUGUAGGAUACCAUACCGAGUCCUUACUCUAUAGACUAGUCCAGGUUUUCAGUGUCGAGAUUACUUAAAUAUUACACUAAUACCCAAUGUUACAUCUUAGAUCUUACAUGUUAGUGGGUUAUAAUGUCAGAUCCAAAUUACAACAAAUCAUGUCUCAUCUUAUUUUAGUUGGAUUCCACUCUACAAGGAUUAUCCUUUGAAGUUUGGAGUUAUUCUUACCACUGGAACAGCAGGAUACAGCCGAAGUGUCUCGGUUAAGGUAGCAUGGAGGCAACCUUAUCCUGCACCACGGGGUUCUUGCAGAGCAUGUAGAAGAACCAUGAAAGGGUAUUUGCCGUGGUGUCUUUCCCAGCAAUCAGGAAGCUGAGGACUAUGUCACGCAGGGGUUGUUGUCUUGUAUCUUUGGAAUUCACUAAGCAGAAGGCAUCCAACAGAGCAGUGACAUGGCUGGUUCCGCGAGCAUGAGUUCAGAAAAUUGGAUAGUGAAACUAAAAUUAUUUUUCAGUGGAUUGGCGGUCAUGGAGGUUGUAACUUGAUAGCAACAUCUGCAGGACAUAGCAGUUAGACUCAUCUGUUUGUACUCAGCAAAUUGGAUAGUGAACCUAAAAUUAUUGCUCUGGGAAACAGUUAUUCAAUUAAUCCAGCAUUCAAAACGUAAAACUUUGGGAUUGACAUCACAUUAGUCUAUGACUACUCAUCGGGGAUCGAAUUCUGGUAUUCACAUUUACAUGCACUGACACAAUGUUUCAAGGUGGAAGCUUCCUGGUAUUCAUGGAUAUUUCUCUGGUUUCCUUCAAUUAAUUCACUCUCUUUCUUGCAAAGUUAAAUAAUAUCAGUAGUCUGACUAACCUGAAUGUAAAUUCAAAUUUAAUUCUCUACCUGGUGACAGUAACAUUUUACAACAUUUCGAAAAGAGUACUGUUCUUUUGUUCAUAACGUGCAUAUUUCAGUACAGCAACACAGGAUCUAGUAGCUUGGAUGUUCAAGCUGAAACUUUAAGGGGGUACGCAAAUAGAUGGAGGCCUUUAUCCAUGUGGAGAGUAAACAUUGGUUUGUAUGUUGGACCCUUGGAUUCAUCUUCCAGUUUGAACCUGAAGAAAUGUAACAGGGCAGCAGCCACGAUUUUCAUCUGCCUGUGUGCAAAUUCUUUCCCCAAGCAGAUACGGGGUCCGGCCUGAUCAUUGGAAGAAGAAUUGUUAAAUGAAAAUGUCUGUCUAAAGUAAGGAAAUGAAUCCAUUGUUGUUCUCAUCAAAAGGUCCUGAGGAAAUGUUAAUUGCAUGACUUGAUUUACAAUGGAAAGGGUAGACAUUAGGAGAACUACUAGGCUGGUCUCUGAAUUAUGCAGUUGAGCUUGUUCAAGUCAACCAGCUUUUGUAACAAGCAUGCUACCUCAACUUCAAACUCAGAUUCAAAUUAAUCCUUAUUUUUAUUUGCUGACUCAGAAAUCUGAGUUAUACAUAGACCAAUUCAGAAGUUUUUAGUGAAACCAUGUUUGCUCCACUUUCUUUGCCCAGAAUAGCUGGAUAAAUUUGGGUUUAGCUGUUUAGGUGUAGGAUUUGUUUUUCUUCUCUCUUUUAUAAAUUAGACAAGCAUAGACUAAACUACUAAAGCUACAAAUAUGAUCUUAGCACUUGUAGUACAGUCUUUUAUAUUGAUGAUGAUAAUCAUGGAAGUACCUGCAUGUUUAUGGUAAUUCUACUAGCAGCUGCAGAUGAGAUCUUCUCUGACAGUUUUGCAGCAUUCAUUCUGAAAACAGUACUGCUGAAAUCGCGUAGCACUUUGGUUGAGAAUUCAUGGCUUGCUAGCUUCCUCUGGUGUCGCCACUUCUCCCCAUCCGUUGCAAAAAUUCCAUUCCCAAAGAGAUUGUUCGCUAUUUCAGUGUUGAACGCUCCCUGUGAAAUAGGAUCCAACAUCAUUCUGUACAGUUUUUUUGCUUCAUUUUGUACACUUAGUUUAUUCAAUAUAACCUCUUUUUUCAAAUUUAAAUUAUAUGAUUAUUCUGACUAACCCGUAUGUAAAUUCAAGGUUAGUCUUCUACCUUACGCAGAAAAUUUUCUACCUGGUGACGUUCAUUUGAUUUAUUUACAUGGCAUUAUGUUGUACAGUUUUAGCUUUCAGUUAAAUUAGGAUUGCUCUGUUUAUUGGAGGAUGAACUGUUGGACCACUAGAUUAUUUUCUGUGUCAACUUAAUAUCUGUCAACAGAAAAUGAAGGUUGCCUAAUUACAAUGUUGCCUUGAAAAAACAGUUAUUGGAUCAGAUCAUAGCAUAUUGCAUAUACUUAACAUUUAACAUGUUAGUCAAGUUUGAACUUUUGACCAUCCUCUGUAUAAAUCUACCAUGAUCUAAACAUGUGACAUACAGCAUGAUGUAUUACCAUGUCACUCAGUGAGAAAGUUAGUGAGCAACAAAGAUGAUCAGCAAGAAAAAUCACCUUGCUGUAGUUACUAAAGUUUGUCUUGAGGACAUGCUCGAUGACUCGGCAGGGUCGGCUGUUAAGAUCUCACUGUGUCUGGGGUAGACUAGCCUGGUGGUGGGGUGCUUAAGCGCAUACUUCACAUGCUCGUCAAAGAUCCUGUCAAAGUUUUUGAGCUGGCGGAACACGGUCCCGAUGAGCGGUGGCCGGUCCUGUGCUCUAUUAGCGAACUCUCUGAUGCAGAAGACGGCAAAAGAUAAGACAACGCCGAGAAUGUAUAGGGUGAUGACCAGCAGGGCUAUGGCAAAAGCUGAAACUAAGCAUAUCAUUGUGGAUGCAACAAGGGAGAAGAGCUGGGAAGCCAUCAGAGUUAGCUGCUGCUGUCUGCUGAAAGUAGCUUACCAUAUCCUUCCUAUAUAUAGUCUACGUACGCAACCACAAUAUUUGUUUCAGCCCGUCUUAGACUAGAACAGCAACAUAAUGUUUCUAUACUUCAGGGUUUCUGGACAGGACAGUCUUGUGUCUUGGAAAAUGGACAACCCUGUAUUCAAACUAUCCAGACAGCUCAGAAGAAUGUCGCCUGCAUGCUAAACGAGCAUCAAGCGCAAAAUUGAUAUCCGCAAAUUCUGAAUUUGGAAUUGGACGGAAUUUAUCCAGAAUAGCUGUGUAUAUAUGUCACUGACUCAUGGCCCCCAGUGCUUGCUAGUCAGCCUCGCGUAUAAUAACUUUUUUUUCUUUGAUAAUUUUGUGAUAGAAAUGCACGCACAUCAUUGUUGAAUCUUUGGGACUGACUUCCUUGGCUUGCUAGGUACCAGCAAAACAGAAGAGAAGCCUGGUAGAAGCAGUGACAUAGCUGCCGGAGGUUGAGUUCCUGCCAACCCUGCCCACUGCCGUCGCCCCUAGGUCUCCACGCUCGGCCAAUUCCUUCUCUGCCUCUUCACCAGCGAAGGAACGCGGCGGACGGGUGGAUAUAGAUUGGAUGGAUAUGUUCAGCUGUGGAAGCGGUGAGCCGCCGGAGUUUGAAUUCUUGCCAUCACCGCCCGCCGCUGUCGCCCCUAGGUCUGCACGGCCUACUGAAUCCUUCUGUGUCUCUUCCCAUGCGAAUCCAGUGAAGAAACACGGCGGACGGGUGGAUAUAGAUUGGAUGGUAUGUUCAAUUGUGGAAGCGCUGAGCCGCCGGAGUUCGUAUUCUUGCCAUCACCGCCCUCUGCUGUCGCCCCUAGGUCUGCACGGCCUGCUGAAUCUUUCUGCGUCUCUUCCCAUGCGAAUCCAGUGAAGAAACACGGAGCACGGGUGGAUAUAGAUUGGAUGGAGAUGUUUAAUGGUGGAAGCACUGAGCUGCCAGAGGUCGAUUUCUCGUCCCCUGCCCGCUGUCGUCGCCCCUAAGUCUGCACGGCCCGCUGUUUCCUUGUGCGGCUCUUCGCCGGCGAAUCCAGUGAAGAAACACAGCCCACUGGAUAUAGACUGGACUGCGAUGUUCGAGACUGGAAGCACCAAGCUGCUGGAGACCAAUCUCUCACCACCGGCACUCGAGGUCAUCCUGCCAAGGUCUGCACGCUCUCACCCUUACUAGCCUGCUUACAUGUUUGUUCUUUCUUCUCAAUGCAUUGUUUGUUUCUAAGUACGAGUUGGUUAAUUUGGUCGUUCUUCUCCGUGCAAGUUUGUAGAGUGGAUCCGAAUUAACUAGAAUAAUCAACUGACCAAUCAGUAGUCAUCUCAUGUUCCUAUGUACGAUGUUUAAUUUGGUCUCGCUAUGGCCAUGAAUAUGGUGCAUGCUGCCCUUCCUGCUUCUGAUAUGAUAUGUCGAACAAUGCUCAGGUGGAGUGCAAAAGUGUGGAACUAUGGGCUUAUUAUAGGGAGACUAUAGGCCAGUUCUUUUUAGCUUUCUGAACCGGCUUCUCCAAGAAGCUGCCCUGCCCCAGCUUCCUGGAGAAGCUGCCAUCUAAAUUUGAUUACGUUAUCAAACUAGGUUGGCCUAAACUAGUUUGGAGGGCAGCUUAUAGGAGAAGCCGGUUCUAGAAGCUGAAAAGAACGCAGCCUAUGAAUGUUGGGUUAAUAUAAAUUGAUGCAAUUAUUAAUGACAUGAUACUUUGCACGAUAAAGAUGGAACGCAAUGUGGCAUAUGUAUGUUAUGAAAAUGAUAUAUUCAUCAACUUAAUGUUAUUUGUUUUGACUUUUGAUGAUAUACUCUACAAAGUACAAAGCACCCUCUCUGGCAUGAUUUGGAAAUAUUGAUAUAUGUGUGGCUUACCCUCUACCCUCGGCACUUGACCCGCACAGUUGCCUAGCCUAACCGUUGCAGGUUUGUUGAGUAGAUGUGGUUUUCUGUCUCUAGUUCUUACUGCUUUCUCCGGCGAGGCGACAGAACUCUUGAUUGCAUAUAUUGUUCUUGCCAGUCCAAAGUCAUUAACAUCUGUACUCACUGCUAUCCCAAAAUAUCGUAUCUAUGACCAUGUCACUUCAUUGCUCUUGCUCCUCUAAUUAAACAAUUUCUCUCUUUCCUCCUGUGUUCCUUUCAGUUCACUAUAGUUAUUGACUAAUUUGAAGUCUCGCCUAGUCCUGGUCCAGCUCUUCUCCUGACCGUGUAUACAUCAUUAAUGUCUUCUAGAACCUGAUACAUAACCCUGAACUACUUUUCUUGCUUGCAACCCAUGCUAUUUAUUUUGCAGAUAACAUCAACAAUAUUUUUGGGACAAAGAUUACUUUGGUUCACACAAUGGUAUCGUGAUGUUAGUUUCUCUGUCCUGACUUCAAGAUUCAAAAUUUCUAUCUUGAUCACACUAAUUUGCCUUAGCUUAGUUAACAAAAUUGGUUGCAACGCACUUGAAGGGCAACAAAAUAUUACCUUCAAAUUAUAUAUGGUGAUAUCGUGAAUGUGACUCAAUGGGGGUUUUGGGCAGGUUGUCGCGAUUGCAUUGUCAAUGUUACAUCUUAGAUCUUACAUGUAAGUGGGUAUAUGAUGUCAGAUCCAAAUUACAACAAAUCAUGUCUCGCUUAUUUUAGUUGGAUUCCACUCUCUACAAGGAUUAUCCUUUGAAGUUUAGAGUUGUUCUUACCACUGGAACAGCAGGAUAUAGCCAAAGUGCCUCAGUUAACGUAGCAUGGAGAUUGUGCAUCUUGUCAAUGGCAACUUAUCCUGCACUACGGGGUUCUUACAGAGCAUGUAGAAGAACAAUGAAAGGGUAUUUGCCAUGGUGUCUUUCCCAGCAAUCAGAAAGAUGAGGACUAUGUCAAGCAGGUAAAGAUCAUUCAUCGUCUCAGAGUCCUCCUCACUUGCAGAUAACAAUUAACAAUAUUUUUGGAGCAAAGAUUACUUAGGUGCACACAACGGAAUCUUGAUGUUUAGUUUCUCUGUCCUGACUUGAAGAUUGGAAAUUUCUCUCUUGAUGGAACUAAUUUGCCUUAGCUUAGUUAACAAAAUUGGUUGCAACUCACUCGAAGGGCAACAAAAUAUUACUCCCUCCGUUUCAUAAUUCUUGUCUCAAAUUUGCCAAAAAAUGGAUGUAUCUAUUCCUAAAAAGUGUCUACAUAUAUGUAAUAUUUCGACAAGAAUUAUAAAACGGAGGGAGUACCUUCAAAUUAUUUGUUGGUAUUGUGAAUGUGACAGAAUGGGGCUUUUGGGCAGGUUGCCGCGAUUGCAUUAUUUGUUGGUAUUGUGAAUGUGACAGAAUGGGGCUUCUGGGCAGGUUGCCACGAUUGCAUUGUCAAUGUUACAUCUUAGAUAUUACAUUACUGGGCAGGUCUGCAGAGUCAUCAGCACCGUCAGCAAGAGAUGAGGGAUGGAGCGACUUGCCUCAUGCACUUGACUGUGCUGCUGCUACGAAGAAUUCGAGGAGCCUGCUCAGUUUGCACCUGAGCAGUUCAGUUUGCAGAGGAUAGGUCCUCUGCUUUACUUCCCUGUAAGCACUGAAUUGUUAUGUUUCCUUUCUUGGAAUGGAAAAUGGAUGGUAGCCCUAAUUCGGAAAAGAGUUGGAUUCCACUCUACAAGGAUUAUCCUUUGAAGUUUGGAGUUAUUCUAGAGACUCUCAUAGAGAUAAGAGUUUAGUAGCCCUUACGUGAUCACUUCCAUUCUUCAUUUUCCCACUCUUUUGAUGGAUCAACUGCAUCACAAAGUUGUCGAUUAUCUGAAAUCUGAAUUCUCCUCU